This 876-nucleotide long non-coding RNA is filed under the name Sorghum bicolor (sorghum). RNAcentral's name for it is "long non-coding RNA (SBIC_LNC007409)". The record is from RNAcentral. Lineage: Eukaryota; Viridiplantae; Streptophyta; Magnoliopsida; Poales; Poaceae.
UUUCCAACAUCUCUUCCUCCUUCCUCCCAUCGGACAGCUCUAGAUCUCGCCGCCGCCGCCGCCAGUACUCGUCGUCCGCUAGCCCCUUCCCUCUCGGCUCCGGCGUCCUCACCGCACCGGGUAGGGAAAGGACCCUCCACCCUCCUGUACAUCCUUUAGGAGUCCCGCGAUGGGUUCUCUCCAGUGGUCGUCGUCGCUGCUACUGCAGCUCUCGUCGCCCGCCGACGAGGCUCCAAACCAAGGUACGUCUAAAUAAAAUAAAUCUGCUCCUCCGCAGCACGGCUCUCCCCUCCUCCAGCUCCACCUCGUCUACCUCACGUCGCCUCUCAGUUUCGUGCUCCUCCGACCCACAUCCACCACAGCUCGCCUUCGCCUCCACCUCUACUUUGCAGCCAUCGAUCCUGCCGACCCAGAUAGCUCCUUAUCCGGCGUUGGCACGACGACUUCGUCUCCAUCUUGGACCCGACUUGGAGCUUCAUCCACUACCUCCGGCGACGGCAACAAAUUUACCCUUCGGUUGCUCGACGCACGCUUCCUCACCGGCUCCGUCGCCCCACCUUCAACCGACACUUGGCGCGGCCUUCCAUAUGGGUGUAUGCGCCAUCGGCGCCUCUACGGCCCCUCGCUGGCGAAUUUGUCGUCGUCAACGUCUCUAACAUAGCUGUUGUUUUUAUCUGGUCGUUGGACCUUGUCGUAAUUCGGUCUUUCUUGGAGGACUUUUUGUGUAAAAUGUCUGCUAAAUAUGGCCUUGUUUAGUUGGCAAAAUUUUGGUUUUUUGCUACUGUAGCAUUUUCGUUUUUAUUUGACAAACAUUGUCCAAUCACGGAGUAACUAGGCUCAAAAGAUUCAUCUCACAAAUUUUAGGUAAACUGUGUA